RNAcentral lists this ribosomal RNA (831 nucleotides) under uncultured Cellulophaga sp. RNAcentral describes it as "bacterial SSU rRNA". It matches the Rfam family "Bacterial small subunit ribosomal RNA", at positions 25 to 857 of the family's 1533-position model. The record is from RNAcentral. Lineage: Bacteria; Pseudomonadati; Bacteroidota; Flavobacteriia; Flavobacteriales; Flavobacteriaceae.
CAGGAUGAACGCUAGCGGCAGGCCUAACACAUGCAAGUCGAGGGGUAACAGGGAGCUUGCUCCGCUGACGACCGGCGCACGGGUGCGCAACGCGUAUGCAAUCUACCUCUUACUAAGGGAUAGCCCAGAGAAAUUUGGAUUAAUAUCUUAUGUGAUAUGUGACUGGCAUCGGUUACAUAUUAAAGGUUACGGUAAGAGAUGAGCAUGCGUCUCAUUAGUUAGUUGGUAAGGUAACGGCUUACCAAGACUUCGAUGAGUAGGGGUCCUGAGAGGGAGAUCCCCCACACUGGUACUGAGACACGGACCAGACUCCUACGGGAGGCAGCAGUGAGGAAUAUUGGACAAUGGACGGAAGUCUGAUCCAGCCAUGCCGCGUGUAGGAAGACUGCCCUAUGGGUUGUAAACUACUUUUAUACAGGAAGAAUAAGAUCUACGUGUAGAUUGAUGACGGUACUGUAAGAAUAAGGACCGGCUAACUCCGUGCCAGCAGCCGCGGUAAUACGGAGGGUCCGAGCGUUAUCCGGAAUUAUUGGGUUUAAAGGGUCCGUAGGCGGGCUGUUAAGUCAGAGGUGAAAUGCUGCGGCUCAACCGUAUGCACUGCCUUUGAUACUGGCGGUCUUGAGUUAUAGUGAAGUGGCUAGAAUAAGUAGUGUAGCGGUGAAAUGCAUAGAUAUUACUUAGAAUACCGAUUGCGAAGGCAGGUCACUAACUAUACACUGACGCUGAUGGACGAAAGCGUGGGUAGCGAACAGGAUUAGAUACCCUGGUAGUCCACGCCGUAAACGAUGGAUACUAGCUGUUCGGUUUUCGGACUGAGCGGCCAAGCGAAAG